Long non-coding RNA from Mauremys mutica (yellowpond turtle), 793 nucleotides. RefSeq lists it as uncharacterized. Lineage: Eukaryota; Metazoa; Chordata; Testudines; Geoemydidae. The transcript is spliced from 3 exons. The record is from RefSeq and is a predicted model, not a curated record.
UCCAUCCGUUCGCUGUUUAAAGGAAACCUCAGCUGCCAUGCUUACCUGUCACCGAAUCUCUGGUUGCAGCAAUGUGCCUCUUCUCCUGCUAAAGUCGCAUCACCCCAAGUCUGCUUGCUGUGCUGAACACAGCAGGGGAGGGAAAGAAUGUCAUGCAUUUACACCUGGAGCAGCUUCUUCCCAUGGUAGCAGCCCCGUGCAAGUUCCACAGCUGUGUUAGAAAUAUCUGGUGGGCCGAGCCCAGGACUGGCUGACCAGCACAAGCUGGAUUCUUGCCCUUGAUGCUACAAUAAUACAAAUAAAUAAUAACAACACUUGGCAGCACCAUUCAGCCUGCCGGGCCUGCAGGGGUCAGGAGCAAACAACUUAUUUACUGAUAUUUCUCGAACAUCAGCCAGCACCUUUCCAUGAACAAAUUUCUAAUGUGUCCGUUACUGUGGUCGCUAUCUGACAAAGGAGGGUUGCAGGAGUAGCUGGCGGGGCUGGUGUGCAGAGGCUACUGCCUAUGAUGCUGACUAAUAGCCUCUCAUGGUUUCCUUGUACUCCCUCAUCUGCCGGGUUUCCUGACGGUGGAAAGAACAGGAAGCAAAAAUGCUGAAGCAGUGCCACAGAAAAGCUGCUUUUACAGCAUUUCUGACUUGGCUGAAAUCAGAUUCCUUAUCAAGGCCGUAUCUCAGUGUUCUAGUCUGGAGUUUCUGGAAGGCACUCCAAGCCCCUUCAGCAAGGUGAAAUCAAAGCUGUGUGAAAUCGACUGAUAAGUUGGAGAAGCCAUAAGAACUACGAAAACAAGGGU